Molecule: ribosomal RNA, 250 nt
Filed under: uncultured Cytophagia bacterium
Lineage: Bacteria; Pseudomonadati; Bacteroidota; Cytophagia
Description: partial 16S ribosomal RNA
Rfam family: Bacterial small subunit ribosomal RNA
Source: RNAcentral
UACGGAGGGUGCAAGCGUUGUCCGGAUUUAUUGGGUUUAAAGGGUGCGUAGGCGGCCCUUUAAGUCAGUGGUGAAAGCCUCCAGCUCAACUGGAGAAGUGCCAUUGAUACUGCCGGGCUUGAGUACAGACGAGGUUGGCGGAAUUGAUUGUGUAGCGGUGAAAUGCAUAGAUACAAUCAAGAACACCGAUUGCGAAGGCAGCUAACUAGGCUUUAACUGACGCUGAGGCACGAAAGCGUGGGGAGCAAAC